GGAGUGCUUGCACUCCUGAUGCUUAGCGGCGGACGGGUGAGUAAUACGUAGGUAACCUGCCCUUAAGACCGGGAUAACUCACGGAAACGUGGGCUAAUACCGGAUAGGCGAUUUCCUCGCAUGAGGGAAUCGGGAAAGGCGGAGCAAUCUGCCACUUAUGGAUGGACCUACGGCGCAUUAGCUAGUUGGUGGGGUAACGGCUCACCAAGGCGACGAUGCGUAGCCGACCUGAGAGGGUGAUCGGCCACACUGGGACUGAGACACGGCCCAGACUCCUACGGGAGGCAGCAGUAGGGAAUCUUCCGCAAUGGACGCAAGUCUGACGGAGCAACGCCGCGUGAGUGAUGAAGGUUUUCGGAUCGUAAAGCUCUGUUGCCAGGGAAGAACGCUAUGGAGAGUAACUGUUCCAUAGGUGACGGUACCUGAGAAGAAAGCCCCGGCUAACUACGUGCCAGCAGCCGCGGUAAUACGUAGGGGGCAAGCGUUGUCCGGAAUUAUUGGGCGUAAAGCGCGCGCAGGCGGUCAUGUAAGUCUGGUGUUUAAACCCGGGGCUCAACUCCGGGUCGCAUCGGAAACUGUGUGACUUGAGUGCAGAAGAGGAAAGUGGAAUUCCACGUGUAGCGGUGAAAUGCGUAGAGAUGUGGAGGAACACCAGUGGCGAAGGCGACUUUCUGGGCUGUAACUGACGCUGAGGCGCGAAAGCGUGGGGGAGCAAACAGGAUUAGAUACCCUGGUAGUCCACGCCGUAAAACGAUGAAUGCUAGGUGUUAGGGGUUUCGAUACCCUUGGUGCCGAAGUUAACACAUUAAGCAUUCCGCCUGGGGAGUACGGUCGCAAGACUGAAACUCACAGGAAUUGACGGGGACCCGCACAAGC
This 876-nucleotide ribosomal RNA is filed under the name Paenibacillus dendritiformis. RNAcentral's name for it is "bacterial SSU rRNA". It matches the Rfam family "Bacterial small subunit ribosomal RNA", at positions 73 to 930 of the family's 1533-position model. Lineage: Bacteria; Bacillati; Bacillota; Bacilli; Caryophanales; Paenibacillaceae. The record is from RNAcentral.